RNAcentral lists this ribosomal RNA (419 nucleotides) under uncultured bacterium. RNAcentral's name for it is "bacterial SSU rRNA". It matches the Rfam family "Bacterial small subunit ribosomal RNA", at positions 504 to 921 of the family's 1533-position model. The record is from RNAcentral.
GGUGUCAGCCGCCGCGGUAAGACGGAGGGGGCAAGCGUUGUCCGGAAUUACUGGGCGUAAAGCGCUCGUAGGCGGUCGCGUACGGCGGUGGUGAAAGCUCCCGGCUCAACUGGGAGAGGCCCGCCGCAACGGCGUGACUCGAGGGUGGUAGAGGCAGAUGGAAUUCCAGGUGUAGCGGUGAAAUGCGUAGAGAUCUGGAGGAACACCCGUGGCGAAGGCGAUCUGCUGGGCCAUGCCUGACGCUGAGGAGCGAAAGCUAGGGGAGCGAACGGGAUUAGAUACCCCGGUAGUCCUAGCCGUAAACGAUGGAUACUAGGUGUCAGCGGUAUCGACCCCGCUGGUGCCGGAGCUAACGCGUGAAGUAUCCCGCCUGGGGAGUACGGCCGCAAGGUUGAAACUUAAAGGAAUUGGCGGGGGAU